Molecule: non-coding RNA, 29 nt
Filed under: Mus musculus (house mouse)
Lineage: Eukaryota; Metazoa; Chordata; Mammalia; Rodentia; Muridae
Source: RNAcentral
UAGAGGCUGCAGGUCCCUGGAGAUUUGGU